AUUGAACGCUGGCGGCAUGCCUUACACAUGCAAGUCGAACGGCAGCACGGGUGCUUGCACCUGGUGGCGAGCGGCGAACGGGUGAGUAAUACAUCGGAACGUACCUUAUCGUGGGGGAUAACGCAGCGAAAGCUGUGCUAAUACCGCAUACGCCCUGAGGGGGAAAGCGGGGGAUCGAAAGACCUCGCGCGAUUAGAGCGGCCGAUGCCUGAUUAGCUUGUUGGUGGGGUAAAAGCCCACCAAGGCGACGAUCAGUAGCUGGUCUGAGAGGACGAUCAGCCACACUGGGACUGAGACACGGCCCAGACUCCUACGGGAGGCAGCAGUGGGGAAUAUUGCACAAUGGACGGAAGUCUGAUGCAGCAACGCCGCGUGGAGGAUGACACAUUUCGGUGCGUAAAACUCCUUUUAUAUGAGAAGAUAAUGACGGUAUCAUAUGAAUAAGCACCGGCUAAACUCCGUGCCAGCAG
Molecule: ribosomal RNA, 470 nt
Filed under: uncultured bacterium
Lineage: Bacteria
Description: bacterial SSU rRNA
Rfam family: Bacterial small subunit ribosomal RNA
Source: RNAcentral